RNAcentral lists this long non-coding RNA (208 nucleotides) under Elaeis guineensis (African oil palm). RNAcentral describes it as "long non-coding RNA (EGUI_LNC052391)". Lineage: Eukaryota; Viridiplantae; Streptophyta; Magnoliopsida; Arecales; Arecaceae. The record is from RNAcentral.
CCAAUCUCCAUUGCUCAAUCAAAUUGAGCCAAUUAACAAUCAUAUUGUUAAUUAUUUAUUCUUCUAAUUUGCUAACCAUUAGUAAAUAUUUCAUUACAACCUUUGUAAAGGAUUAAUCAUCAGUUAAAUUGAUAAUUAAACCCUUUAAUAAUUUAUAAUCGUCGAUCAGCCAUUUGAUCAGACAGAUACUUCAUGUGUGUGACCCCAU